This is an RNA transcript of Odontomachus brunneus, 1901 nucleotides long. It is a transcript of the gene named haloacid dehalogenase-like hydrolase domain-containing 5, with no coding region annotated. Lineage: Eukaryota; Metazoa; Arthropoda; Insecta; Hymenoptera; Formicidae. The record is from RefSeq and is a predicted model, not a curated record. The transcript has 4 exons.
GCCAACAGUAAGAUGAAAUGUAUACUGCUGACAUAACCUAAAAUCGUAUCAUCAUGCAUAAUCGGGCCACGACGACGGGCGGCACGCGAGCGUUUUGAGGUCGCGUCAGAUUCGCGCGCACGUCGUCGUCUGGUCGCUCGCCUAAUUGUCAAAAUAAAGAACAAAACAAAAAAAAAACAAAACAAAUGGCGAUCACAAAGAUCUUGCUGCGAUUGGACGUCGCGAGAUUCACCGGACUCAGACAUUUAAGCACCAAGCCAAAAUUCGGACUACUCUUUGACAUCGACGGGGUCAUCGUGCGCGGUAAGCAAGUGUUGUCGCCAGUGAGGGAGUCCUUCAAGCAGCUUCGAGGGGAUAACGGCAAAUUCCGCGUGCCCACUCUGUUCGUCACCAACAGCGGGAAUUCCCUGUGCAGGCAGAAAGCGGCCGAUCUGUCGGAAUGGAUUGGCUUCGAGGUCGCCGAGUCACAAGUCGUGCUGGCGCACACGCCGUUGCAGAUGUUCGACUACUUGCACGACAAGCAGGUGCUGAUAUCCGGCCAGGGCCCGAUUAAGGAGAUCGCCCGGGAGCUGGGCUUCAAGAAGACCACCACCGUGGACGAAUUGGUGAGGAACUUUCCCUGCUUGGACUACGUGAACGUGAAGAGGCGGAAUCCAGUCUGCGGGCCGAUCGAUCCGAAUUUCGCGCGGAUCGAGGGUAUCGUGCUGCUGAGCGAGCCGAUCAAUUGGGAGACGCCGUUGCAGCUGAUGGUGGACCUCCUAGUCACCAACGGGAUGCCUACGGGUCUGCCCGCCGCUAUUCCUUACCCGCACAUUCCAGUGCUGGCGUGCAACAUGGAUCUGCUGUGGGUGUCCGAGGCGCCGAUCCCCAGAUACGGCCACGGCGCGUUCCUCCUAUGCCUCGAGAGCCUGUACCGCAAAGUCACGGGCAAAGACAUAACGUACUCCGCUCUAGUCGGCAAACCUAGUGAGAUUACGUAUUACCACGCGAAUCGUAUGCUCGUCAAUCACGCCCGGAGCAUCGGGAUCGACAACGUCGACACGAUCUAUGCGAUCGGCGACAACAUCAACACGGACGUGUUCGGCGCGAACCUGUACGACAAAUAUUUGUCCCGCUACGAGUCCGGAGAAGGCACCAAGUCCCGCAGUCUCGAGAAGCUGUUGGGGAAGAACAUGAAGUCCCCCAGUGCGAAGGCCUGCAUCAGUAUCUUAGUGGAGACCGGCGUGCAUCAGCGAGACUCGAAAUUUAUACCCGACCAUAGCCCCAGGGACUUCUUGCCAGUCGAGGACGGCCUAUGCAAGCCGGCGUUCAUUGUCAAAGAUGUUGGGCAGGCGAUCAAGCUCGCGUUCAAAGAGGAGAAGUUCGAGUGAAUUCGAGUGCGUAGUAAGAUACUUCUAGCCUUGGAGUGUUCACAUUCUUACGUCGCCAGAAAGACAGAGCGAGCGAGAGCGAAAGUGAAAGAGUGCGAGAGAGGGAGUGAAAGAGAACACAAGUAACGUCCUUUGACGUUCUCGCUGUUGAGAAGAAAAGACAGAGAAAUGGAGAACAGUGAUCUACCGCCAAAGCGUCAUUCGCGCGCACUUAGACGUACCGCCGUGAGGAGAACCGCGCGCUGACUCGCAGCAGGUGUGAAAGCGCACAUUAUACCUUCUUUAUUCGCCCUCGCAGGUCGCAAGCUCGACACGGCAAUCGACUUAUAUGUCGCAUUGCAUGUAAUACCGGCGAGACGCACGUCGACUAACGUUUGCCGGGACGAAGACUGACCACCUUAAGGUAGAACUUAGACGAGCGUCGUGGCUUUCAAAUCAGCUUAUAUCGUUCGCUCACGACGAUUACAGCUGCAAUAAAGUUAUCACAUGCCAAUAAAACCCUGGCUGGCUCUCAGCCCGCCAGCCAGCAAC